This 77-nucleotide transfer RNA is filed under the name Ligilactobacillus murinus. RNAcentral describes it as "Lactobacillus murinus tRNA-Arg". It matches the Rfam family "tRNA". Rfam says of the family: Transfer RNA (tRNA) molecules are approximately 80 nucleotides in length. Their secondary structure includes four short double-helical elements and three loops (D, anti-codon, and T loops). The record is from RNAcentral. Lineage: Bacteria; Bacillati; Bacillota; Bacilli; Lactobacillales; Lactobacillaceae.
CCUUUAGCUCAAUUGGAUAGAGCAACAGUCUUCUAAACUGUAGGUUGUAAGUUCAAAUCUUACAAGGAUCAUUACCA